UACGUAGGGUCCGAGCGUUGUCCGGAAUUAUUGGGCGUAAAGAGCUCGUAGGCGGUUUGUCGCGUCUGCCGUGAAAGUCCGGGGCUCAACUCCGGAUCUGCGGUGGGUACGGGCAGACUAGAGUGAUGUAGGGGAGACUGGAAUUCCUGGUGUAGCGGUGAAAUGCGCAGAUAUCAGGAGGAACACCGAUGGCGAAGGCAGGUCUCUGGGCAUUAACUGACGCUGAGGAGCGAAAGCAUGGGGAGCGAACAGG
Molecule: ribosomal RNA, 253 nt
Filed under: uncultured bacterium
Lineage: Bacteria
Description: partial 16S ribosomal RNA
Rfam family: Bacterial small subunit ribosomal RNA
Source: RNAcentral